ACAAUGGCAGGUACAGAGGGAUGCUACCGGGUGACCGGAUGCGGAUCUCGAAAGCCUGUCCCAGUUCGGACUGGAGUCUGCAACCCGACUCCACGAAGUUGGACUCGCUAGUAAUCGCGCAUCAGCCAUGGCGCGGUGAAUACGUUCCCGGGCCUUGUACACACCGCCCGUCAAGCCAUGGGAGCCGGGGGCGCCUGAAGUCCGGGACCGCGAGGACCGGCCUAGGGCGAAACUGGUAACUGGGGCUAAGUCGUAACAAGGUACC
This 265-nucleotide ribosomal RNA is filed under the name uncultured bacterium. RNAcentral describes it as "partial 16S ribosomal RNA". It matches the Rfam family "Bacterial small subunit ribosomal RNA", at positions 1227 to 1500 of the family's 1533-position model. The record is from RNAcentral.